CGCGGCAAGACGGAAAGACCCCGUGAACCUUUACUAUAGCUUGACACUGAACAUUGAGCCUUGAUGUGUAGGAUAGGUGGGAGGCUUUGAAGUGUGGACGCCAGUCUGCAUGGAGCCGACCUUGAAAUACCACCCUUUAAUGUUUGAUGUUCUAACGUGGACCCGUAAUCCGGGUUGCGGACAGUGUCUGGUGGGUAGUUUGACUGGGGCGGUCUCCUCCUAAAGAGUAACGGAGGAGCACGAAGGUUGGCUAAUCCUGGUCGGACAUCAGGAGGUUAGUGCAAUGGCAUAAGCCAGCUUGACUGCGAGCGUGACGGCGCGAGCAGGUGCGAAAGCAGGUCAUAGUGAUCCGGUGGUUCUGAAUGGAAGGGCCAUCGCUCAACGGAUAAAAGGUACUCCGGGGAUAACAGGCUGAUACCGCCCAAGAGUUCAUAUCGACGGCGGUGUUUGGCACCUCGAUGUCGGCUCAUCACAUCCUGGGGCUGAAGUAGGUCCCAAGGGUAUGGCUGUUCGCCAUUUAAAGUGGUACGCGAGCUGGGUUUAGAACGUCGUGAGACAGUUCGGUCCCUAUCUGCCGUGGGCGCUGGAGAACUGAGGGGGGCUGCUCCUAGUACGAGAGGACCGGAGUGGACGCAUCACUGGUGUUCGGGUUGUCAUGCCAAUGGCACUGCCCGGUAGCUAAAUGCGGAAGAGAUAAGUGCUGAAAGCAUCUAAGCACGAAACUUGCCCCGAGAUGAGUUCUCCCUGAGACUUAGAGUCUCCUGAAGGAACGUUGAAGACGACGACGUUGAUAGGCCGGGUGUGUAAGCGCAGCGAUGCGUUGAGCUAACCGGUACUAAUGAACCGUGAGGCUUAACCUUACAACGCCGAAG
RNAcentral lists this ribosomal RNA (872 nucleotides) under Salmonella enterica. RNAcentral describes it as "partial 23S ribosomal RNA". It matches the Rfam family "Bacterial large subunit ribosomal RNA", at positions 2071 to 2925 of the family's 2925-position model. RNAcentral also lists the same sequence under 2 other names. The record is from RNAcentral. Lineage: Bacteria; Pseudomonadati; Pseudomonadota; Gammaproteobacteria; Enterobacterales; Enterobacteriaceae.